UAACAAUGCACUGUGUGUAUCAGGAGUC
RNAcentral lists this small RNA (28 nucleotides) under Bombyx mori (domestic silkworm). RNAcentral describes it as "ovarian small RNA-18549". The record is from RNAcentral. Lineage: Eukaryota; Metazoa; Arthropoda; Insecta; Lepidoptera; Bombycidae.